CGGAUUGUAGGCUGCAACUCGCCUACAUGAAGUCGGAAUCGCUAGUAAUCGCGGAUCAGCAUGCCGCGGUGAAUACGUUCCCGGGCCUUGUACACACCGCCCGUCACACCAUGAGAGUUUGUAACACCCAAAGCCGGUGGGUAACCUUUUGGAGCCAGCCGUCUAAGGUGGGACAGAUGAUUGGGGUGAAGUCGUAACAAGGUAGC
Molecule: ribosomal RNA, 206 nt
Filed under: uncultured bacterium
Lineage: Bacteria
Description: partial 16S ribosomal RNA
Rfam family: Bacterial small subunit ribosomal RNA
Source: RNAcentral